RNAcentral lists this small RNA (106 nucleotides) under Drosophila melanogaster (fruit fly). Its description in RNAcentral is "partial mlncRNA102B1-1". Lineage: Eukaryota; Metazoa; Arthropoda; Insecta; Diptera; Drosophilidae. The record is from RNAcentral.
UCGAACCUCCGAUCCACGGAAUGCGGUAUGAAAAUAUUAAUGAUUUUAAUAACAUAAAUUUUAAAAGAUGCCAAGAUAAACGAAGAGAUCAUAGUGAUCCUGACAA